UCGAUUUGGAGUUUGUUGCCUUGAGUGAUGGGCUCCGAAGCUAACGCGAUAAAUCGACCGCCUGGGGAGUACGGCCGCAAGGUUAAAACUCAAAUGAAUUGACGGGGGCCCGCACAAGCGGUGGAGCAUGUGGUUUAAUUCGAUGCAACGCGAAGAACCUUACCUGGUCUUGACAUCCACAGAAUCUUGCAGAGAUGCGAGAGUGCCUUCGGGAACUGUGAGACAGGUGCUGCAUGGCUGUCGUCAGCUCGUGUUGUGAAAUGUUGGGUUAAGUCCCGCAACGAGCGCAACCCUUAUCCUUUGUUGCCAGCGAUUAGGUCGGGAACUCAAAGGAGACUGCCGUUGAUAAAGCGGAGGAAGGUGGGGACGACGUCAAGUCAUCAUGGCCCUUACGACCAGGGCUACACACGUGCUACAAUGGCGUAUACAAAGGGAGGCGACCUCGCGAGAGCAAGCGGACCUCAUAAAGUACGUCUAAGUCCGGAUUGGAGUCUGCAACUCGACUCCAUGAAGUCGGAAUCGCUAGUAAUCGUGAAUCAGAAUGUCACGGUGAAUACGUUCCCGGGCCU
Molecule: ribosomal RNA, 569 nt
Filed under: uncultured Gammaproteobacteria bacterium
Lineage: Bacteria; Pseudomonadati; Pseudomonadota; Gammaproteobacteria
Description: bacterial SSU rRNA
Rfam family: Bacterial small subunit ribosomal RNA
Source: RNAcentral